UGGGGAAUAUUGCACAAUGGGCGCAAGCCUGAUGCAGCCAUGCCGCGUGUAUGAAGAAGGCCUUCGGGUUGUAAAGUACUUUCAGUCGGGAGGAAGGUGUCAAGGUUAAUAACCUUGGCAAUUGACGUUACCGACAGAAGAAGCACCGGCUAACUCCGUGCCAGCAGCCGCGGUAAUACGGAGGGUGCAAGCGUUAAUCGGAAUUACUGGGCGUAAAGCGCACGCAGGCGGUUGAUUGAGUCAGAUGUGAAAUCCCCGGGCUUAACCCGGGAAUUGCAUCUGAUACUGGUCAGCUAGAGUCUUGUAGAGGGGGGUAGAAUUGCAUGUGUAGCGGUGAAAUGCGUAGAGAUGUGGAGGAAUACCGGUGGCGAAGGAGGCCCCCUGGACAAAGACUGACGCUCAGGUGCGAAAGCGUGGGGAGCAAACAGG
RNAcentral lists this ribosomal RNA (429 nucleotides) under Chloroflexota bacterium. RNAcentral describes it as "Chloroflexi bacterium partial 16S ribosomal RNA". It matches the Rfam family "Bacterial small subunit ribosomal RNA", at positions 355 to 776 of the family's 1533-position model. Lineage: Bacteria; Bacillati; Chloroflexota. The record is from RNAcentral.